This is a non-coding RNA of Choloepus didactylus (southern two-toed sloth), 73 nucleotides long. NCBI's taxonomy places the organism in Eukaryota, Metazoa, Chordata, Mammalia, Pilosa, Megalonychidae. The record is from the annotation of a RefSeq genome assembly.
GGUUCUAUGGUGUAGUGGUUAUCACAUCUGCCUUACACGCAGGAGAUCCUGGGUUCGAUUCCCAGUGGAACCA